This 72-nucleotide transfer RNA is filed under the name Telmatobius chusmisensis. RNAcentral's name for it is "tRNA-Lys". Lineage: Eukaryota; Metazoa; Chordata; Amphibia; Anura; Ceratophryidae. The record is from RNAcentral.
CACUAAGAAGCUAUAGGACCCAGCAACAGCCUUUUAAUCUGUAGAUAGGUGACUUCCAACCACCCUUAGUGA